Molecule: ribosomal RNA, 323 nt
Filed under: uncultured bacterium
Lineage: Bacteria
Description: bacterial SSU rRNA
Rfam family: Bacterial small subunit ribosomal RNA
Source: RNAcentral
GAUGAACGCUGGCGGCGUGCCUAACACAUGCAAGUCGAGCGAAGCAUUUUAAAGGAAGUUUUCGGAUGGAAUUUGAAAUGACUGAGCGGCGACGGGUGAGUAACGCGUGGGUAACCUGCCUCAUACAGGGGGAUAACAGUUAGAAAUGACUGCUAAUACCGCAUAAGCGCACAGCAUCGCAUGAUGCAGUGUGAAAAACUCCGGUGGUAUGAGAUGGACCCGCGUCUGAUUAGCUAGUUGGUGAGGUAACGGCUCACCAAGGCGACGAUCAGUAGCCGGACUGAGAGGUUGAACGGCCACAUUGGGACUGAGAUACGGCCCAG